ACAGCAAACAAGAGACAUAUAGAAUCUUCUUUUCUUUCUUGAACAUUCCAACAAACUACCUGAUAUCAAAAAAUUUAAUUUCUUUCUCUUUCAAAUCAAAAUAUUUCAAUUGAAAUACAUAUUUUUGCAUUUGAUUGAAAUAAUUUGAAUUUAACAGUUAAAAAAAAUAAAUCAAAAAAUGAUAUAAAUUGAUGCAUUAUGGAUGAUACUUGUUUACAUUCAAUUAUGAUACAAUAUGGAGAAAGAUGGGACGUAAAAGGUAAGAGCAUCAACUGAAUUUUUGCAUACAGUGACUGAUGUGGCUAAAAGUUUCACAGUUUGUCUGCAAAGUCGAAAAUAUAGUUACAGACAAUUUCAAUUAGAUGAGAUACCUUGUAGUCAUGCCAUGACUGUUAUUACAUACAGAAAUCAGAAUGGAGAGAAUUAUUGCUUCCCAUAUUAUAGCAAAAAAAUUUUUUGAGAUGCAUAUGCAAUACCAGUUGAACCUCUUUCUUGUAAAAGCACAUGAAAAAUACCACAAGAAUUGCUGGAUGAAAUGGUAUUGCUGUCAGAUUAUAAAAGGCCGCUUGAGAGACCUUCUACAGAUAGAUAGAAAGCACCAAAUAAAGACAAAUGUAAGAGGUCAAGGGGGACUUGCAGUAGAUGCAAUAGAUAAGGUCACAACCGAACGACAUGCCACAAACAUCCGCCAUGUGUUUAGUUAAAAACACAUUUUAGUUCUUUCUGUUGUUUAUUAAACUAGUGAUAUGUUUUUUGGAUGAUAUUUUCUAAAUAACGUUUGAUGCUUAUUUUUCUGAAGUUUUUAAUUUUUAAAUUCAUUCAAUUGAACUUUUCAAUACAUUUUUGUUCAUGAUGUGAAUGGUAUGUUUCAAUAGUUUUAUUUGA
Molecule: long non-coding RNA, 885 nt
Organism: Capsicum annuum
Lineage: Eukaryota; Viridiplantae; Streptophyta; Magnoliopsida; Solanales; Solanaceae
Exons: 2
Source: RefSeq, a predicted model, not a curated record